RNAcentral lists this ribosomal RNA (345 nucleotides) under Triticum aestivum (bread wheat). Its description in RNAcentral is "partial small subunit ribosomal RNA". The record is from RNAcentral. Lineage: Eukaryota; Viridiplantae; Streptophyta; Magnoliopsida; Poales; Poaceae.
AUGGCAGGGCGGCUCCUCGGGCAACUCCUCGUCAUGGGCGGCGCCGUCGUCGGCAGGGCCGUGGUGCAGGCCUACCGCCAGGCCAUCGUCAAUGCACAGAGAACCGGAGCUGCCCAGGAAGCUGUGAAUGGUAUUCGAAGGGCUAGCAAGGCUAUGACCGAGCAAGAAGCCCGGCAAAUAUUAGGUAUCAGUGAAAAGACGAGUUGGGAAGAGAUUGUCAAGAAGUAUGAUACGAUGUUUGAGAAGAAUGCCAAGAGCGGAAGCUUCUAUCUCCAGUCGAAAGUACACCGGGCCAAAGAAUGUCUGGAGUCCAUAUACCAUGAUAAGCCCGACAUAAUGAACUGA